AGUGAACGCUGGCGGUAGGCCUAACACAUGCAAGUCGAACGGCAGCACAGUAAGAGCUUGCUCUUACGGGUGGCGAGUGGCGGACGGGUGAGGAAUACAUCGGAAUCUACUUUUUCGUGGGGGAUAACGUGGGGAAACCUACGCUAAUACCGCAUACGACCUACGGGUGAAAGCAGGGGAUCUUCGGACCUUGCGCGAUUGAAUGAGCCGAUGUCGGAUUAGCUAGUUGGCGGGGUAAAGGCCCACCAAGGCGACGAUCCGUAGCUGGUCUGAGAGGAUGAUCAGCCACACUGGAACUGAGACACGGUCCAGACUCCUACGGGAGGCAGCAGUGGGGAAUAUUGGACAAAGGGCGCAAGCCUGAUCCAGCCAUACCGCGUGGGUGAAGAAGGCCUUCGGGUUGUAAAGCCCUUUUGUUGGGAAAGAAAAGCAGCAGGUUAAUACCCCGCUGUUCUGACGGUACCCAAAGAAUAAGCACCGGCUAACUUCGUG
This 492-nucleotide ribosomal RNA is filed under the name uncultured bacterium. RNAcentral's name for it is "partial 16S ribosomal RNA". It matches the Rfam family "Bacterial small subunit ribosomal RNA", at positions 29 to 507 of the family's 1533-position model. The record is from RNAcentral.